This 253-nucleotide ribosomal RNA is filed under the name uncultured bacterium. RNAcentral describes it as "partial 16S ribosomal RNA". It matches the Rfam family "Bacterial small subunit ribosomal RNA", at positions 524 to 776 of the family's 1533-position model. The record is from RNAcentral.
UACGUAGGGUGCAAGCGUUAUUCGGAAUUACUGGGCGUAAAGCGUGCGCAGGCGGUUCUAUAAGACAGAUGUGAAAUCCCCGGGCUCAACCUGGGAACUGCAUUUGUGACUGUAGAGCUGGAGUGCGGCAGAGGGGGAUGGAAUUCCGCGUGUAGCAGUGAAAUGCGUAGAUAUGCGGAGGAACACCGAUGGCGAAGGCAAUCCCCUGGGCCUGCACUGACGCUCAUGCACGAAAGCGUGGGGAGCAAACAGG